CAAAACCCCCUAAUUCUAUUUCAAUUAUUUUCUUUUAGUCCCUUUGAUUUUAGUAUUUAUUUUAGUGAUUAGUGAGUAAUUCAAUUAUUAAAUUUAAAUUAUUUUGAUAACAUAAUUGAGAAAUUCAAGUUAAUGUUUUCCUUUUUCCUAAAAAUAUUUGUCUAAACAAAAAUAUGAUUUCAGAAUUCUUAGAUUGAUUUGGGAAUUGAACAAGUAUUAUAAUUAUGGUUUCAAUCACAGAUUAAAUAUAAUUGAAUAUGGUUUUAUUAAAAGCAAAGCAAGCUUUAUGGCUAAUCUUAAAAGAAACUUAGAAGUUUAUUAGAGGGUUCGAUAAAGUUAUUAUGAGUCGUGAGUAUUUAAUGGUUCAUGUCCUUAUCUGUUUGAGGUAUUAUGAAGUGGAGAAUGAACAAGGAGAAUCGUAUCAUGGAAGUUGAGUGGAGAAUGGUGAUCGAUAUAUAGCCUUGAGAGUUAUGAAUGGAUAUUAAAGAGUUAAAAUGUUUUGCAGGUAGCAAGAGUUAGGUCUCAGUUCAGAUUCAAGGUUCGUAGAGUUCUCAAAUGGCCUUAUGUGUCCAAGGUUGGAUUGUGGAUUCGUCAAAUGUAAUUUAGUUCAUAGAGUUUGUUAAAGGGCUGUAUAAUUUCUUCUUAAAGCUUUUUAGUUUAUAAUUUGUGGGUUAUAUAU
Long non-coding RNA from Spinacia oleracea (spinach), 679 nucleotides. RefSeq lists it as uncharacterized. NCBI's taxonomy places the organism in Eukaryota, Viridiplantae, Streptophyta, Magnoliopsida, Caryophyllales, Amaranthaceae. The transcript is spliced from 2 exons. The record is from RefSeq and is a predicted model, not a curated record.